This 275-nucleotide long non-coding RNA is filed under the name Elaeis guineensis (African oil palm). RNAcentral's name for it is "long non-coding RNA (EGUI_LNC037627)". Lineage: Eukaryota; Viridiplantae; Streptophyta; Magnoliopsida; Arecales; Arecaceae. The record is from RNAcentral.
AUUAAAACAUAUCUCUAAUUAGAUCUAAUCUAAUCAUGCAUACAUAGAGAUCAUAUCUUAAUAUAAACCUAAGCAUCAUCAUAUAUACAGGAUUAAGAUCAAGCAAAAAUAAAAAUCUAAUUUUUAUCUUUGCGUGGGUAGAUCUUCACCACGAUCCGAUAAACCAUAGAUAUCUUCAUGAUCCAUUGAAGCUGCGAUUUAAUGAUCUAUGGAUGUCUUCAAGAUUUUUUUGAAGCCACACAAGUGUCUGACCUCUACAAGUAUCCAUAUGAGGU